Molecule: long non-coding RNA, 1134 nt
Filed under: Zonotrichia albicollis (white-throated sparrow)
Lineage: Eukaryota; Metazoa; Chordata; Aves; Passeriformes; Passerellidae
Description: lncRNA (ENSZALG00000018195.1)
Source: RNAcentral
CUCAUGCAGUGGAGGCAGCCCCAAGGGUUUCAUAGCAUUGUUAUUUGGUAGCCAAAUUGCCCCAGCAGUUUCUGGUUGCUCUGAAUAUAUAUAUUCCAUAUAUAUAUAUUCCAUAUAUAUAUUCAAUAUAUUUUGAUUAUUCUGGUUACUUACCAUAAGAUUUUUUUUUUUUAUUUCUCAGGUUGAGCUCCCCUGUUCUGUAUGGACUCCACUAACAAAGCCACACAAAAGCUCUUGCACUUAUUGCACCGUCUGUCUUCAUUUCACUGCUCUGUACUACUCUGAUGGGAUGCAUAGAGCUCUGCUAAACUGUGCUAAAGAUCCAUCUGUGGAAGUUUAUCUGCUAUUUUGCUUGUUAAGCAUCCAAGAGGGAGGUAACAGAAAUUUUAAAGGUACUGUAUUCUGAUUUGGGUUUUUUUUAGUAGGAGCAGGUUUUAUGGGUAUUUUCAAGUUACAAAUUAAUAUAAUGCGAAGUGUUAUUAUUGGACUUUGAACAGAAAUAUUUUGCUUUGUUUUUGCAUCCUCAUGUGUGUAAGCUAUGAUCGAGGAAAUAUUUACAUCUAGGAUUUAUCUUGGAUGUGUGAAUAGUCCCUCACUGCUCUCAGUACUGUUCACAAUAUCAUGGUCUAAGUUUGUUUCAGAACACUGCUAAGCAUUUUUGGUUUUCUAUUGUUUGGUUUUCAAACAGUUUUCUUAAAAAAAAAUAGAGGCAGAGGAUAUAUAAAAAUAAUUCAGAGCUUCAUGAAUUAUACAGGGCAACAUUAUAGUUGGUAAGGCAAAAUUUUCAGAUACUAAGAUAAAAAUUUGGAUGGGAUAUUAAAAAAUUAGUCUCUGAUUCAGUAAACCAUAUGGAUCAGAAUUAUUGCUUACAGACUUGGUAUAAAAAGCUCAUGCUUGAGUGGAUCAGACAAAUACUGCCCUAGAACAAGAUUCCCUCCCUUCCAGCUUUCUGUAAGUUGAGAUUUCUCUGACGUAAGCAGAAUUAAGACUGUUUAAAGGGCAUUUUAAAACAUCUCAGGCUUGAUAAAGUGAUACUAGUGAGUGGGUGAAAAAACCCACUGUAUUUCCUAUACAAACAUGGUUAUUAAAACUUCUCUGUGUAAGGCAGAUGAUUCAAAUUCUUUAAUGAUGAAA